Molecule: transfer RNA, 82 nt
Filed under: Postia placenta MAD-698-R-SB12
Lineage: Eukaryota; Fungi; Basidiomycota; Agaricomycetes; Polyporales; Adustoporiaceae
Description: tRNA-Asp
Source: RNAcentral
UCUCUGGUCGUAUAUCGGUUAGUACACGCGCUUGUCAUGUAACCGUGCGCGCGAAAGCGGGGUUCGACUCCCCGCCAGAGAG